This 468-nucleotide ribosomal RNA is filed under the name uncultured bacterium. Its description in RNAcentral is "partial 16S ribosomal RNA". It matches the Rfam family "Bacterial small subunit ribosomal RNA", at positions 28 to 507 of the family's 1533-position model. The record is from RNAcentral.
GACGAACGCUGGCGGCGUGCUUAACACAUGCAAGUCGAACGGAAAGGCCCUGCUUUUGUGGGGUGCUCGAGUGGCGAACGGGUGAGUAACACGUGAGUAACCUGCCCUUGACUUUGGGAUAACUUCAGGAAACUGGGGCUAAUACCGGAUAGGAUCUCCUGCUGCAUGGUGGGGGUUGGAAAGUUUCGGCGGUUGGGGAUGGACUCGCGGCUUAUCAGCUUGUUGGUGGGGUAGUGGCUUACCAAGGCUUUGACGGGUAGCCGGCCUGAGCGGGUGACCGGCCACAUUGGGCCUGGGCUACGGCACAGACUCGUACGGGACGCGGCAGUGGAGAGUAUUGCCCAAUGGGAGGAAGCCUGAUGCAGCAACGCCGCGUGCGGGAUAACGGCCUUCGGGUUGUAAACCGAUUUCGCCUGUGCCGAAGCGUGAGUGACGGUAAUGGGUAAAGAAGCACCGGCUAACUACGUG